GAGACUCCGUCUUAAAAAAAAAAAAAAAGAAAUUUCCAUCUGCCUCCAGAGGAGAAGUAUCUUGUACCCAAAGGCCUCUAUUUGGUAGGGGCCACUUUAGCCCCCACCAACAGCAAUAUACAGGUCCCCUUUCUCCACAGAGAGAGGAAGAAAUCUCUCCCUUUCCAGCCCACAACACUCUUCCUUGCCUGCCUUGGGACGACAGACUGUAAGGGCACCCCUUUCUGUUAGGGCCAAUCUCCCUCCUCCCUCCACACCUGAAGGUGUGGUCUGACCCAUUCCCCUCCAAGAAAAUAAACCACCAUCUUAGUGUCCAGUCUGAGUGUUUUGUUGUCAGAGUCUCAGGCCUGUCUAAGCAGCGCUGUUCCCUCCCAGGGCAUCAUGGUAGCCUUUCCUCCAGCCUGAGGUGAAGAGAGGAUCAAGUUUUCCGACCUCUGGUAACCCCAUCUCCCAGGAACAGAUGUUGGACAACAAAGCACUCAUGUCACCCAGGAGCCAAAGGGCAACCUCAACCAAGAUUUUAAAAAAUGGACACCUUAGAACAUGUGUUUGAUUUGUUUGGGGGCAGUUCUACCCAUAAACACAAUUAAUGUUUCCUAACAGGACUCAUAAUGACUUUGCUCAGAAUCACCCCACCUGGGCUUCCUCCGGAACAGCGGAGGCUUCUUGCCUCACAACAGGUGGCCUGCGAGUGCUGCCCAAUGUGGUUACAAUGUGAGCACACUGGCGGCUGACUCACAGGAAAGGGUUCCCGAGGCUGUGCCUGAGAUAAGGCUGGCUUCUGGAGGCCUCUCUGCAGAGGAACAAAUCCCACCCCAACUCCCUGAUUGGAUAAUAAGACUCAGAAACUCCAGUUCUCCCCUUCCUAUGUGGCUUUGCAGGUUCUGUGUCUGACUGGAGUGCCACUUCUCUCACGUACCUGUGGUCUAUGCUACAGAACAUCCUAGCCACACAGGAAAGGCGGGAGCAGUGGGUGGCUUGAGGCCAACUGAGCUUUCAAUCCAGUUCCUCUCCCCUGCCACCUGCCUUACCUGGUGCUACCUCUGCAAACACCACCUGCUGGGACAGCGUGGGUGGGAGGGGCUGGUGAGGAGCAUUAUUUCCCGUUACUGCCUUGGGGAUGCUGCUGAGGGCAUUGCUCACUCCUUUGAUCUGGGCAGAGAAGGAAGCCACCUGUCCUAGCCAAGGUUUUAGCGCAGUGACCAGAUGAGAGGCUUCAGGUCACCUCGGGGCCCUGAGUCUGGAAUCCAGAGCCACAGAGAAUGAGGCUCUGUGUGGAAUCCUUGGUAGAGACAGGAUUGGAAACCUCUUGCAGCCAGAAAAAUCACCAUCGCAGAGGGAGACUAGAAACCAUCUCUGGGCCUGAACCUAUCCUUGCUCCCGCCUUUCUUGUGCGGUUAGGUGGUUCUGUGACACUGACCUCAGGCAGGACCACCAUGCUGUUUUCCAUGGUAGCUGGACCAUUUGACAUUCCCACCAACGAUGCUCAAGGAUUCCAACUUCUCUGCAUCCUUGCCAUCCUAGUGGGUAUGAUGUGGUAUCAUCUGCUGCUUUUGAAUGAAAAACCACCUACAAGGACUCCUCAAACUCUCAAUAAACAUAGACUGUUCUCAUAGGACUCAGACUCUCUUGGACAGAAAUCUUUGUCCCCGUGAAAUGCUGCCAUGUCGUCCUGAGAGACAAGAUGGAAAUAAACCUUUCCUCACGGGAGAGAGUGAAUGCCAGUUGAGACCUCACUAAUAUGAAGACACGGCUGCUCACAACUAUUCCACUGUGAAUCCCUCAGGAGUCCUGAAAUUGGUGGUAGGAUCUCCAUUUUACAGGUGAGGUGACUGAGGUUGAGAAUGAAGGAAGCCAGGCACUCGUGCAGUCUUACAAGGUAUUGUAGUUAUAAGUGGAGUCUGGAGUCACAUACAGGCUCUGCAGCUUUCUAGCUAUGUGACCUUGGGUAACAUCUCAGUCUAGUCUCUGCAAAAUGGAAAUGAUAGCACCUCAUAGGGUUGUGAAGAUUAACCAGUUUAUAGGCAGCAUCUUAGCACAGAAUGUGAGCUAAAUAUGCUUCAUGUAUUUACUACUACAAUGAUGAUCAAUGUCUGAACUAAGUUUAAGACACUAUAGGCAAGCAAAACUAACUUCUCUUUCCCUUUUUCCUGUCUCCCAAUGUAGAUGCAACAACAUUUUCCUCACUUCCUGGAAAUGGCUCCGUUCUAGCAUUUCAACAUGAUCCAGGAGUGACAGUGAUGGUUAAGUCAGAGCAUCUCAAAGAGUCUGAGCGUUGAAUCUUCCAAAGUGUUCGAAUCUGUGGUAAGGGAAAUGAAGCACAAGGUAAGUUGAGGGUUGGACUGUGUGCUGUUGGACUCUUGUUCUUGUGACAAGGUCAGCAGUCCCUUGUAGGCAUGUCAGUUCCUGCCCCCGCACAGGCAUGUGUACACACACUCACGUGCACACACACACACUCCUGGCUUUUGGUUUUUUUCCCGGGUAGGAAACUGUUCUUUAUACCUUGACUUGCUGAUCUGUCUUCUACCAGGGAUCCAGGAACAUUACUAAGGGGCAAUGGGACUUAGGGUGGGGGUAACAGGCUGGGAUUGAGGUGAUUAGAUUCUAGUCUCAGAUGAGUCCCUGAUAGGGUUUUGGACAAAAUCUCCGUUUUAAAUUUGUUUUCUUAGCUCUAUAGAGUCCACAUGUAAGGUUUUUUGUCUGUUUGUUUGUUUUUGUUUGUUUGUUUUGGGAUGGAGUUUCACUCUUGUUGCCCAGGCUGGAGUGCAAUGGCACAAUCUUG
RNA transcript from Chlorocebus sabaeus (green monkey), 2782 nucleotides. It is a transcript of the gene named UDP-GlcNAc:betaGal beta-1,3-N-acetylglucosaminyltransferase 2, with no coding region annotated. The record is from RefSeq and is a predicted model, not a curated record. Lineage: Eukaryota; Metazoa; Chordata; Mammalia; Primates; Cercopithecidae.